RNAcentral lists this ribosomal RNA (207 nucleotides) under uncultured bacterium. Its description in RNAcentral is "partial 16S ribosomal RNA". It matches the Rfam family "Bacterial small subunit ribosomal RNA", at positions 568 to 774 of the family's 1533-position model. The record is from RNAcentral.
CACGUAGGCGGACCAGAAAGUUGGGGGUGAAAUCCCGGGGCUCAACCUCGGAACUGCCCUCAAAACUAUUGGUCUGGAGUUCGAGAGAGGUGAGUGGAAUUCCGAGUGUAGAGGUGAAAUUCGUAGAUAUUCGGAGGAACACCAGUGGCGAAGGCGGCUUACUGGCUCGAUACUGACGCUGAGGUGCGAAAGCGUGGGGAGCAAACA